ACAGAGCUGGUGGGAGCUGGGAAUAGGUGAAAACCCUGCCCCCUUGUGAGUUGGCAGGACAGGAGCCUCCUGUUCCCUGGCUGCCGUUGUGGCCACCCAGCCGUAGCCCUGGAGCCAGGCAUCCCUGUGCUUGGGGAUCAGAGCGAGCAAGAGCAGAGCCCCUCCCUUCUGGGUGCAGUUGCAGCUGCGCAGCCAUGACUGUGGUCCUGGACAUCUCUGUGCUCUUGGGGGCUGGGAGGGCCCUCUGCCUCCUGCCCCUUACCCACUCCAGAGCCUUCUCUCUGUUGAGAGCUAAGCAGACAUCAGGACUACCAGCUGCAGAGAGGAGCUACCCACUGUGGGCUUCCUCUCUGCUGAGAGCUGAACACUCAUUGGGACGCCCUGCCUAUGGAAACCAGCUGUUCACUCUGGGUCUCCUCUGAGCUGUUCUGUCGCUCAAUAAAGCUCCUCUUCUUACUCGCCCUCCAUUUGUCUGCCCUACCUCAUUCAUCCUGGGUACAGGACAAGAACUUGGGACCUGCUGGUAUGGUGGAGCUAAAAGAGCUGUAACACAAACAGGGCUGAAACAUGCCCCUUGCUCGCCACGUUGUGGAUGACAAGAGGGAGGGAAGAAAGGAGAGAAGAUCUGCGACCCUUCAGCAAACCCAGACUUAGGAGAUCGCAGAGCCAGGACUGUGACACCCUCUCUGGGGCUCUGUGGUUCCUGGCGUCUCCAAGCUUCUGGGCACCACGGCUUUCCCCGGUGCCAGUCGUGGAAGCUGCUUGUGGCCUCCAUUUACUGUUCGGGAAACCCUCUUACGCUAUGAAUGUUAGCUGUCAGCAAACACUGCCUCCCACUACAGGGGCACACAGUGUUGGUGCCUGCUUUUCCACCCUCCAGUUCCAACAGGAAGCAAGCACAGGACCCAAGCAUUGCAGACAGUUGUAUCACGCCAAUGUGCAUUCGGAGCCACUGACAGAGUCUUGCUUUGUCACCCAGGCUGGAGUACAGUGGUGUGAUCACAGCUUACUGAAACGUCUGCCUCCCAGGUUCAAGCGAGUUUUCUGCCUCAACCUCUGGAUUAGCUGGAAUUACAGUGUUAGCAGUCACUGAUGCUCAAACAUGAGAAGACUGGGACAUCCAGCAGAUAAGGAACACUGUCCAAAGUGUUAGACUAAUAAGUGACAGGGUUGGGCAAUGAACCCAACUACUCAACUUUCAGAAAAAAGCAAUUCUUUUUCUGAGGAAAAUAGAACUCACUCUGCUCUGGCUUUUAUGAGGGGGAAUAUGAUAUAAGCAGUUGAGGAAGAAUGCUCCAUGAGUUGCCAUCCUUCCCUCUUCCGCAUGCCAGAAGAGGUAGAGCCCACUGAAGAAGGAGCAGAAUAAGGAAUGGAAACCUUAGUUACAAGUUCAAGGAAUUCUACCCACUUUAUUAUUCUUUUGUGUGUAACUUGAUUUAUAGUUUUUACUUUGAAAGAAUGUAACUAUUGUACAUGUUUCAUAAAGUAUCAGUAGCUGAAUAGACC
This 1506-nucleotide long non-coding RNA is filed under the name Pongo abelii (Sumatran orangutan). Its description in RNAcentral is "lincRNA". The record is from RNAcentral. Lineage: Eukaryota; Metazoa; Chordata; Mammalia; Primates; Hominidae.